RNAcentral lists this ribosomal RNA (327 nucleotides) under uncultured eukaryote. Its description in RNAcentral is "partial 18S ribosomal RNA". It matches the Rfam family "Eukaryotic small subunit ribosomal RNA", at positions 1470 to 1796 of the family's 1831-position model. The record is from RNAcentral.
CCCUUAGAUGUUCUGGGCCGCACGCGCGCUACACUGAUGCAUGCAACAAGUCUUUUCCUUGGCCGAGAGGCCUGGGCAAUCUUUGAAUAUGCAUCGUGAUGGGGAUAGACGAUUGCAAUUAUUCGUCUUCAACGAGGAAUUCCUAGUAAACGCAAGUCAUCAGCUUGCAUUGAUUACGUCCCUGCCCUUUGUACACACCGCCCGUCGCACCUACCGAUUGAAUGGUCCGGUGAAGGCUUCGGAGGCGGCUUUCUCAAUGUUUAUUCGGCGAGACUGCUGCCAAAGUUGAAUGAACCUUACCAUUUAGAGGAAGGUGAAGUCGUAACA